RNAcentral lists this ribosomal RNA (433 nucleotides) under uncultured bacterium. RNAcentral describes it as "partial 16S ribosomal RNA". It matches the Rfam family "Bacterial small subunit ribosomal RNA", at positions 29 to 507 of the family's 1533-position model. The record is from RNAcentral.
AACGAACGCUGGCGGCAUGCCUAACACAUGCAAGUCGAACGGAACCUCCCGGCCUAGUGGCGCACGGGUGCGUAAGACGUGGGAACUUGCCCUUAGGUUCGCUAUCACUGCCCGUGAGGGGUGCUAAUAACGCUUAAGGUCUUCGGACAAAGGAUUUAUCGCCUUUGGAUGGGCGCGCGUUGGUUUCGCUGGUUGGUAGGGUACAAGCCUACCAAGGCGACGAUGCAUAGCUGGUCUGAGAGGAGGACCAUCCCCAAUAGGACUGAGACACGGCCCAGACUCCUACGCGAGGCAGCAGUGUGGAAUAUUGGACAAGGGGCGAAGGCCUGAUCCAGCAAUGCCGGGUGAGAGAGGAAGGCCUUAGUGUUGUAAAGCUCUUUUACACGGGAUGAUAAUGACAGUACCGGGAGAAUAAGCACCGGCUAACUCCGUG